Molecule: ribosomal RNA, 326 nt
Filed under: uncultured eukaryote
Lineage: Eukaryota
Description: partial 18S ribosomal RNA
Rfam family: Eukaryotic small subunit ribosomal RNA
Source: RNAcentral
CCCUUAGAUGUCCUGGGCCGCACGCGCGUUACACUGAUGCAUUCAACGAGCUUAUAACCUUGGCCGAGAGGCCUGGGCAAUCUUGUUAACGUGCAUCGUGAUAGGGAUAGAUUAUUGAAAUUAUUAAUCUUGAACGAGGAAUUCCUAGUAAACGCAGAUCAUCAAUCUGCAUUGAUUACGUCCCUGCCCUUUGUACACACCGCCCGUCGCACCUACCGAUUGGAUGGUCCGGUGAAUAAUUCGGACUGCAGCACUGCUUGGUCUCCAGGCUUUGCAGCGGAAAGUUUAGUGAACCUUAUCACUUAGAGGAAGGAGAAGUCGUAACA